RNAcentral lists this long non-coding RNA (492 nucleotides) under Brassica napus (rape). Its description in RNAcentral is "long non-coding RNA (BNAP_LNC014616)". The record is from RNAcentral. Lineage: Eukaryota; Viridiplantae; Streptophyta; Magnoliopsida; Brassicales; Brassicaceae.
GAAAUACCGUCAGAAAUAGGAAACUUAACAGAGCUUAACCAGCUCAUUCUUUACUUGAAUUAUUUCUCUGGUUCAAUUCCGUCUGAGAUUUGGAGGCUUAAGAAUAUUGUGUAUCUUGACCUGAGGGAUAACUUGUUGACCGGUGAUGUUCCUGAAGCGAUCUGCAAAACUAUAUCUUUGGAAUUAGUAGGAUUUGAAAACAACAACUUAACCGGAACGAUGCCAGAAUGCUUAGGAGAUUUGGUUCAUCUCCAAAUCUUUAUAGCAGGCUUGAACCGGUUUAGUGGUUCGAUUCCCAUAUCAAUUGGUAAUUUGGUUAAUCUGACGGAUUUUAGCCUGGAUAGUAACCAGUUAACCGGUAAAAUACCGAGAGAGAUAGGAAAUCUCUCGAACUUACAAGCUCUAGUUUUAGCUGAAAACUUGUUGGAAGGAGAGAUACCAGCUGAGAUCGGAAACUGCACGAGCUUGAACCAACUUGAGCUGUAUGGUAAC